GCGGCGAACGGGUGAGUAACACGUGGGUGAUCUGCCCUGCACUUCGGGAUAAGCCUGGGAAACUGGGUCUAAUACCGGAUAUGACCAAAGGCUGCAUGGCUUUUGGUGGAAAGGUUUACUGGUGCAGGAUGGGCCCGCGGCCUAUCAGCUUGUUGGUGGGGUAAUGGCCUACCAAGGCGACGACGGGUAGCCGACCUGAGAGGGUGACCGGCCACACUGGGACUGAGACACGGCCCAGACUCCUACGGGAGGCAGCAGUGGGGAAUAUUGCACAAUGGGCGAAAGCCUGAUGCAGCGACGCCGCGUGAGGGAUGACGGCCUUCGGGUUGUAAACCUCUUUCAGCAGGGACGAAGCGAAAGUGACGGUACCUGCAGAAGAAGCACCGGCCAACUACGUGCCAGCAGCCGCGGUAAUACGUAGGGUGCGAGCGUUGUCCGGAAUUACUGGGCGUAAAGAGCUCGUAGGCGGUUUGUCGCGUCGUCUGUGAAAACCAGCAGCUCAACUGCUGGCUUGCAGGCGAUACGGGCAGACUUGAGUACUGCAGGGGAGACUGGAAUUCCUGGUGUAGCGGUGAAAUGCGCAGAUAUCAGGAGGAACACCGGUGGCGAAGGCGGGUCUCUGGGCAGUAACUGACGCUGAG
This 641-nucleotide ribosomal RNA is filed under the name Rhodococcus sp. I15A-00822. RNAcentral describes it as "bacterial SSU rRNA". It matches the Rfam family "Bacterial small subunit ribosomal RNA", at positions 95 to 750 of the family's 1533-position model. The record is from RNAcentral. Lineage: Bacteria; Bacillati; Actinomycetota; Actinomycetes; Mycobacteriales; Nocardiaceae.